CCCAUGGUGUAGUGGUUAUCCUUUUCCACCUAACACGCGGAAGGUCCCAGGUUCGAAACCUGAUGUGUCAAGG
This 73-nucleotide transfer RNA is filed under the name Trichonephila inaurata madagascariensis. Its description in RNAcentral is "tRNA-Val". The record is from RNAcentral. Lineage: Eukaryota; Metazoa; Arthropoda; Arachnida; Araneae; Nephilidae.